Molecule: ribosomal RNA, 408 nt
Filed under: bacterium enrichment culture clone ALO1_GLFRUDD03F8PKI
Lineage: Bacteria
Description: bacterial SSU rRNA
Rfam family: Bacterial small subunit ribosomal RNA
Source: RNAcentral
GAGUUUGAUCGUGGCUCAGAUUGAACGCUGGCGGCAUGCCUUACACAUGCAAGUCGAACGGCAGCACGGGAGCUUGCUCCUGGUGGCGAGUGGCGAACGGGUGAGUAAUGCAUCGGAACGUAUCCUGGAGUGGGGGAUAACGUAGCGAAAGUUACGCUAAUACCGCAUAUUCUGUGGGCAGGAAAGCGGGGGACCUUCGGGCCUCGCGCUCUUGGAGCGGCCGAUGUCGGAUUAGCUAGUUGGUGAGGUAAAGGCUCACCAAGGCGACGAUCCGUAGCAGGUCUGAGAGGAUGAUCUGCCACACUGGAACUGAGACACGGGUCCAGACUCCUACGGGAGGCAGCAGUGGGGAAUUUUGGACAAUGGGGGCAACCCUGAUCCAGCCAUGCCGCGUGAGUGAAGAAGGCC